GAUGAACGCUAGCGACAGGCUUAACACAUGCAAGUCGAACGAUGAAGCCCAGCUUGCUGGGUGGAUUAGUGGCGAACGGGUGAGUAACACGUGAGUAACCUGCCCUUCACUCUGGGAUAACUCCGGGAAACCGGGGCUAAUACUGGAUAUGACUCCUCCUCGCAUGGGGUGGGAGUGGAAAGCUUUUGUGGUGGAGGAUGGACUCGCGGCCUAUCAGCUUGUUGGUGAGGUAGUGGCUCACCAAGGCGACGACGGGUAGCCGGCCUGAGAGGGCGACCGGCCACACUGGGACUGAGACACGGCCCAGACUCCUACGGGAGGCAGCAGUGGGGAAUAUUGCACAAUGGGCGAAAGCCUGAUGCAGCGACGCCGCGUGAGGGAUGAAGGCCUUCGGGUUGUAAACCUCUUUCAGCUCUGAAGAAGCGAAAGUGACGGUAGGAGCAGAAGAAGCACCGGCUAACUACGUGCCAGCCGCCGCCGUAA
RNAcentral lists this ribosomal RNA (483 nucleotides) under uncultured bacterium. Its description in RNAcentral is "partial 16S ribosomal RNA". It matches the Rfam family "Bacterial small subunit ribosomal RNA", at positions 28 to 523 of the family's 1533-position model. The record is from RNAcentral.